UUAUUUUAUUUUUAAGCUGUUAUGGUUGAGAAGUUAAAUAGCCUUUUAAAUUAUUGUUAAAAGAAUAAUUUUGUUUACUUAAAUAUUUUGUUUAUUAUUUUGCAUUUGUUCUGAUUGUAAAAUAUAAACUAUAUAUUCACUACAACAGAAUUAGGUUAUAGCGGCACAUUUUUGGGACACUUUUGUAUAAGUGUCCCAUUUAUACCAAAGCUUUUAAAAAAUUCUACUAAGGCUUAACUAUAAAGCUCAAUCCAACCAAAAAUAAAAUAUUACUCUACUCAACCCACUCCAGCCAGCCUAUUCGUCCUGAUUACAAACAGAAAAGGAAAAUAAAAAAGAAAAAUAGAUCACCAUCUUUCCUUCUCCCCUCACUGAAUCCGUUGAAACCCUAGACGAAGAGCCCCUCCCUCCCCUCUUCCUCCGCGCCGCAGCCGACGAGGUAGGGUUCUAGCGGUUGCUUAAUGCUUAAAUAAGUGUUGGUAAAUUAGCAGCAUUCUUUUUAAAUUAUACCGACACUCUUAAAGUGUCACUAUAUAUCUAGCGACCCCAUAUAUAGCAACACUUUUAAAAAGUGUCGGUAAUUUAACCAGUAGUAUUUUUUUCGACUCGUACCGAUAUUUAAAAGUGUCGCUAUAUACCCUUUUUUUUGUAGUGAUUUUUAUAUUUUGUUUUAUUAGCUAUUUGCUAUUGGUGG
Molecule: long non-coding RNA, 694 nt
Filed under: Ananas comosus (pineapple)
Lineage: Eukaryota; Viridiplantae; Streptophyta; Magnoliopsida; Poales; Bromeliaceae
Description: long non-coding RNA (ACOM_LNC002338)
Source: RNAcentral